UUUGCUUUGCUCUUCUUUUGUCUCUCAUGUGACCCAUUUUAUCUGUUUACCCUGCUACAGCAGGGAGACAGCUGGGCCUCUGGAGAGCCUGAUUCCUGGCCAACAGCAGGAGGAGAGGCUGGCUGAUGUGCCACUCACCGAUCUUCAAGCAAACAUCAGACUCACCUACAGGGUUCCAGCCGAUUUUGGCCUGCUGGUUGUUGGGGUGGUUGUCAUGGCAACAGGUGUGGUUCAUAGGCAGAGCCAAACAUUUGAUACCACUAUUACUACUGUACUGGGAUCAGUGGGACAGCUAGUUAGACACUGAGAAUUGAACUCAACAUUCAUGACCUUCAGGGAGGGCGGCCCACAACAACAUGCUUCUUGGCACAGGAAAUGGUUAGAGAUAAAUUAAUUAUGUAUUUAUUUAUUUUACUGGCACUUGAAAUAGCAGGAGAUUUAGAAAAAAUGUGUGGCAAUACUGAAGCUGGUAUUGUCACAAUAUGUAAUGGCACCUGAAAUCAAUGUUUUUUUUUUUUGUUUUUUUUUUGCUGGAAUCAGAUUAUGUGUAUAAAAUGGAAUUAUAUUUUGAAACUGUUUCCCUGUUUAAAGCAGCUAAGAGGCUUGUACGCUGAAAGCGAUGGUGUGACAAUCUCUCUCUCUCUCUCUCAUUAGUGUGUGUGUGUGUGUGUGUGUUUAAGAAACAGAGAGCUAAGUGUGCAUAACUGGUCUGCAGAUCAGGAAAUUAUUAAGGGGUAAUAUAUCCUAAAAAUAUCUCUUUCAGGGCAGUGUUUUUUUAAACUCUGUUUGGUCUAAAGACGCAAAUUAAACACAGAGGUCAUUGUAUUUUCUUUAGAAUGCUUUAUAUGUGAAAUACUUUGCUCAUACCUGCUAGUUAACAGUGCUUGGGUAAGGGAUGUUGGGGACAGAAAUAGUAAGAGUAUAUAUGACCUGAGGCUGGGGGUGAUCAUAAAAUGUUAUCAUAAGAUGAUUAAAUGCAAUUUUGCUGUAAUAAUAUAAUAUUUCAAACCUUUUAUGCUUGACAGCUUUCUCUGUUUCUCUGAAAGGUUCCUGUUUCCUCAUGUCUAAGAGAACCAGAGGACAAGCUCUGCCCUGUCAAACUGAAUCUGCUCCAUCUCCUUCAGUCUGGGACAAUAAGAAUGUCUCCACUAAGAUCCUGGAUCACUGACAAACAAAGCACUGCACUGGAGUGACAGAAAAGUGAUGACAGGCUGGCUAUAUCCCCUGCUGGUGCGUGACUGCUCAAGUUUGAUGCACAUCAUUCAACUUGCCUCUUUAUUUGGUUUUCUUUAAAAU
Cyprinus carpio (common carp) is the source of this 1296-nucleotide long non-coding RNA. The record is from Ensembl. Lineage: Eukaryota; Metazoa; Chordata; Actinopteri; Cypriniformes; Cyprinidae.